UUCUGUCCGCCGCCUGCACAAAGCUCUCGGGUUCGGCUCCUGGAGCGGGGUCUGCCCGUGGGUCUGCGAUCCUGUGGAGGGGGACCGAGAGAUUUCAAGUGCUAAAUAAGGGAGGUGAUUGUAAAGGACUCAGAAAGAAUGCGGUGCUGCAGAGGUCACGGUUGAGAGCCGGGCUCUGGGGUUUAGGUUCCCACCGGUCCAAUCUCUGUGUGACCUUGACCAAGCGCCGGGACCCCUCAGAGCCUUCGUUUCUCCCUUGUUAAGCACUGAUGGUACAGCACUAAAAGACACGCUGUUUUUUUGCUGGAGGAAGCUUACCUCCUAAUUGAAUACUCAUUGGAUACUGAGACAAGAAAACAUACCAGUUCAAUAGUGUUGGGAACUCUAAAGCCUAAAUUUGGAGCGCUCAGCGGCUGCCUUUGCCACCAUGUAGAGAGCCUUUUGGUGAACGCUGCCAACACAGAGGAAAAGAGAACUGAAAGACGGAAGAAGAUCACAGAUUCCUGAUGACAUCACUGAAGCCCCUGAACCCUGAAGCACCUGAAGGUGCUGGGGAUCCAGCAGUGACAAGGAAGACAGUCAAGAACUUUGCCCUCCUGCAACCCUCAUUCUACGAGACAAACAAUUGUACAUUACAGCAAACAUGAAGACGAGCAGGAUACCAGUUCAGAUAGUGACAUAAGUGACACCUAGAGGACAGAAAGUUAAAAACCAUCCAGAUGGAUACAGACCACACACACGGCAUCUGCACCUCACUGGGAGGCCCAACUGCUACCCAAAUUCACAGCCCUCUGGGCUUCCUCACCUACACAGGACAGGUAAGAAAUGGAUUUAUUUAGAAAGAAACACACUCCACAGACAGAGUGUGGACCAUCUCAGAAGGCGAAUGAGCCUCAAAAUAUGCUGUGAAAGAAAAAUAGCUCGAUUUGCCCUUGAAUAUAACAAUAGUCAGUGACUGAGAAAAAUCAUUUGCUGUCGUCCUCUGUGUCAGCGUGAUUAGGUUACAAAAGAUUGUGGCUUCUAUCUUGGGUGCUCUCUCUCGCUGUGAUGGAAGCCAGGGGCUGUGUUGCAAGCUCCCACACGGAGAGGCCCUCGAGGCAAGGAACCGAGGGAGGACUCCAGUCAACAGACAUUGAGGAAUUGAGCCCCUCACUCCAACAACCUGUGCGGAGCUGAAUCCUGCCAACAACCACAUCACUCACUCUGGGGAAAACCAGCUGAGGACACUCAAGCAAUCCUAUGGAGAAGUCUAUGUGGUGAGGAACUGAGGCCAACUGCCAACAGCUAGCACUAAUUUGGCAGGCAUGGAUAUAGGCCAUUUUGGAGGUGGAUCCUCCAGUCCCAACCAACUCUUCAGAUAUAGCCCUAGCCGAUGCCUUGACUGCAACCUCAUCAGAGAGACCCAGAGCCUGAACUGAGACAGGCUUGUUGCCGAAAUUAGCCUCUGUACACCGGUGCCGAAUUAAAUCUUGGAGACAGAGUUUUGGGUGAAGUAGAAAGAAAUCGCGUUAUUGCUUUGCCAGGCAAAGGGGACCACAACAGGCUAAUGCCCUCAAGACUGUAUGUCCCACCCUGGACGGGGGUAGUGAGGCGUCUUUAACAGUGUUCGGGGAGCAGGGCGUGAUCAGCUUGUGGACAUUCUUCUGAUUGGUGGUGAGGUAAUUGGGAGUCAGCAUCAUCAACCUUCUGGUUCCAACCGGUCUGGGGUCUACAUGCUUGUGGGCAGCAUACGGUUAACUUCUUCCACCUGGUGGCGGUUUCAGUAUCUGCAGAACAGCUCAAAGGACGUGGCUCUGAAUAUUAUCUGUAGACCUUGGGGAAGAACUAAAGGUCCUUGACUUUG
Balaenoptera acutorostrata (minke whale) is the source of this 1843-nucleotide long non-coding RNA. RefSeq lists it as uncharacterized. The record is from RefSeq and is a predicted model, not a curated record. Lineage: Eukaryota; Metazoa; Chordata; Mammalia; Artiodactyla; Balaenopteridae. The transcript has 11 exons.